This is a long non-coding RNA of Syngnathus typhle (broad-nosed pipefish), 959 nucleotides long. RefSeq lists it as uncharacterized. The transcript is spliced from 3 exons. NCBI's taxonomy places the organism in Eukaryota, Metazoa, Chordata, Actinopteri, Syngnathiformes, Syngnathidae. The record is from RefSeq and is a predicted model, not a curated record.
UUUCGGAAGUGCGCUCAUUUUUCACGUUUCUUCCAUCAUGCUGCAUCCUUUAGUCAUCGGCAUUAUGACCGUCAACACCUCUCUCACUGUCAUCUACUGGGCCUUCCUCUUGGGUGACGUCUACUUCAAGUGGAUGGCAGAGCCGGAGGACAAGCCCAAGAAGAUCGUCACCCCUGCCUGAGGCGCCAACAUGAGUCCAACUGACACAAGGACUGUAGUCAACUUUUAGAGAUUUUUUUGGAGUCUUCUUUUAGAUUUUUAUUUUCUAGAGAAUGUUCCAGUUUCACUGUAAGCAACAGGGAGGAAAGAGUCAAUGAAAAAAGAUGCACUUGACACCCACUACUUUCGAAGAUCCUUUAUUGAAGGAAAAGAUCUGAGAAGGCAACAAAUCUUAAUUUCCAGACUGGAUUCUUGGCCCCAAACCAGUGGAGGAUCAUUAUGAGCUAGACAGAACAACAGUAGAAGAAAACAAUUGACUGAGUGGUCACCAGAUGGAGAGAGAUGACGUGGAAAUGGAGAGAGAGAAAGAAGGGACAUUGCCAGGAUUCAAACUUCCCUCCCAUGCUCCUUCUCCGAGAAGAAGCGACCUCCGUUCAUUGAGAGAAAAAAAGAAACACAAAUGGAUUGACGAUUACGUCAAAUCCCUUUAGGUCACUUGACGAUGUCAUCUCAUCUGUUUGUCAAUCGACCGCAGUCUCUGUAGAUGAAUGCUUUUCGUUGUCUUCUUUCACCGUGUACUUCAUUGACACAUAAUGACGACAAAGCUCUUGUGAUGACACCUUAAUAAUGGAAUCUGGAGUUUAUGGUCAAUCGUUUUAUUUCGCACCCUAAUCCCAAGAACAAAUUAAUUCAAUUGAAAUUAAUGGAGAAAAAGAAAUAUAUUUACAUUGUAUUGAAUACAAUUCCCUGGGCUGUCAUUUCCAUGUUCCUGUCAAACAAAGCUUUUUUUUUUUUUCCUU